CUUGAAAAUACCUCCUGUGUGCAACCUAGAAGAGGGAAUUUCGUUAGAGUUGGAGAGAAGGCCUUCAAGUGAAGGAUUUGGGGAAUUUUGUGAAGAUUGCUUAGAUUAAACUCAAGGGCACACUCCGGAAGGAACUAGCACGCCAUCACAACGCUGAAAUCAGCUUGGAGGUCAGUCCUUACAUCAUCAUCAUCUAUCUUUUGUUAGCUUAAGGACAACUAGGCACUUGGA
Camellia sinensis is the source of this 231-nucleotide non-coding RNA. NCBI's taxonomy places the organism in Eukaryota, Viridiplantae, Streptophyta, Magnoliopsida, Ericales, Theaceae. The record is from RefSeq and is a predicted model, not a curated record.